Molecule: ribosomal RNA, 492 nt
Filed under: uncultured bacterium
Lineage: Bacteria
Description: partial 16S ribosomal RNA
Rfam family: Bacterial small subunit ribosomal RNA
Source: RNAcentral
AGUGAACGCUGGCGGUAGGCCUAACACAUGCAAGUCGAACGGCAGCACAGUAAGAGCUUGCUCUUACGGGUGGCGAGUGGCGGACGGGUGAGGAAUACAUCGGAAUCUACUUUUUCGUGGGGGAUAACGUAGGGAAACUUACGCUAAUACCGCAUACGACCUACGGGUGAAAGCAGGGGAUCUUCGGACCUUGCGCGAUUGAAUGAGCCGAUGUCGGAUUAGCUAGUUGGCGGGGUAAAGGCCCACCAAGGCGACGAUCCGUAGCUGGUCUGAGAGGAUGGUCAGCCACACUGGAACUGAGACACGGUCCAGACUCCUACGGGAGGCAGCAGUGGGGAAUAUUGGACCAUGGGGGCAAGCCUGAUCCAGCCAUACCGCGUGGGUGAAGAAGGCCUUCGGGUUGUAAAGCCCUUUUGUUGGGAAAGAAAAGCAGCAGGUUAAUACCCCGCUGUUCUGACGGUACCCAAAGAAUAAGCACCGGCUAACUUCGUG